RNAcentral lists this microRNA precursor (87 nucleotides) under Cajanus cajan (pigeon pea). RNAcentral describes it as "miRNA gene-KK1_039246". Lineage: Eukaryota; Viridiplantae; Streptophyta; Magnoliopsida; Fabales; Fabaceae. The record is from RNAcentral.
CGAUACUUUUAAAACCGGUUAUCUAAGAACCGAUUUUGCAUACUACAUAUAAAAUCGGUUCUUAAAUAACCAAUUUUAAAAGUAGCA